UCUGAAAGGUUCACCAUCACUGGGUUAGAGUUAGAAAAACAAAGUGUCUUGGCAUGAUUUUGAUGGUUGGAAUGUUUUUAGAAGGGCAGAAAUGCUGAGCAGUGAAGAAAAAGCUACUCAACGAAGGCUAUUUCAUAAUCGUCCUAUUUUCAGAGGAACUGAACCCUAAUAUUAGGGUUAGGGGUGUGCACCAGGGUAGGGUUAGGGUUAGGAAAACGAGGUGUGCUGGCAUUGUUUUGAUGGGUGGAAUGUGUUUUCAAUGGACAGAAAUGAUGAGCUGUGCAGAAAAAGCAGCUCAAGGAAGGGUUUUUCAAAAUCAUCCUCUUUUCAAUGGAACUGUAGCCCUGUAUUACGAUUGGGGUGUGGAUCAGGGUAGGGUUAGGGUUAGAAACAUGAGGUGUCCUCGUAAGAUUUUAAUGGUUAGACUGUGUUUAGAAGGGGCAGAAGUGUUGAGCUGUGCCGAAACAGCUACUUAAGGAAGGCUUUUUCAAAGUUGCCUUAUUUUCAAUGUAACCUUUGUCCUAUAUUAGGGUUAGAGUAUUGCACCAGGCUAGGGUUAGAGCAGUGGUCGUGAACCUAUGGCAGGCGUGCUACAGCGGGCAUGAAGAGCCCUUUCUGUCAACACGCUAGCUCAGUCACCCCUGCAUCACCCCAGCAGGUGUGCACCAGAUAACAGCGUUCAUAGGGGCUAUGCGCAUUUUCGGAAGCGAGCAGUAGCUCCAGGCGAUGCCUUUACGAGCUAUGACUUACUAGCUGCUGCUCAUCCGGGCUUUCGCAUGGCUGGUCAGUGCGCUGCCAAGGAUAGAUAUAUAUUUGCUUGGACUGGCUGUGAGGUUUUUUAAUCUAAAAACUGUUUUAUUGUCGUGUUGGGACUUUGCGAUAAAUAAGUGAGUUUUGGGUUGCAGUUUGGGCACUCCGUCUCUAAAAGAUUCGCCAUCACUGCACUAGUGUCUUGUGGUGUUUUUGUUUUUUUGCCGUCCCCUUUUUCCUUCAGCCUAUCUCACCCCAAGUGCUGCCCCUGAAUUCUCUAAGACAGAAUGUAACCUUCUACUCAAAGAGCCUUCACAUGCCUAAGUCAUAAAGAUUAAUUGAGCAGCAGAAAGCCAAGGGU
Varanus komodoensis (Komodo dragon) is the source of this 1111-nucleotide long non-coding RNA. RefSeq lists it as uncharacterized. NCBI's taxonomy places the organism in Eukaryota, Metazoa, Chordata, Lepidosauria, Squamata, Varanidae. The transcript is spliced from 3 exons. The record is from RefSeq and is a predicted model, not a curated record.